This is a small nucleolar RNA of Pteropus vampyrus (large flying fox), 129 nucleotides long. NCBI's taxonomy places the organism in Eukaryota, Metazoa, Chordata, Mammalia, Chiroptera, Pteropodidae. The record is from Ensembl.
GAGCCAGCUAACGAAUCUGCUUACCCGCAUGGGUUUCUGCAGAAUCUGGAGAAAGCUGGCAAUAGCCAAGCCAUGUUACGAGCCUUACGGACAUUGAAGUCACUAAGGUCCCUGAAAAUGGCUAUAAGG